AACUUUCAACAACGGAUCUCUGGGUUCUGGCAUCGAUGAAGAACGCAGCGAAAUGCGAUAAGUAAUGUGAAUUGCAGAAUUCAGUGAAUCAUCGAAUCUUUGAACGCACAUUGCGCCCUGUGGUAUUCCGCAGGGCAUGCCUGUUCGAGCGUCAUUAUAACCACUCACGCCUGGCGUGGUGUUGGGGCACGCGGUCCCGCGGCCCUCAAAUCCAGUGGCGGCGCCAGUAGGCUCUAAGCGUAGUAAUACUCCUCGCUAUAGGGUCCCCCUGGUUGCUCGCCAGAACCCCCCAUUUUUUCAGGUUGACCUCGGAUCAGGUAGGGAUACCCGCUGAACUUAAGCAUAUCAAUAAGCGGAGGCU
RNAcentral lists this unclassified non-coding RNA (361 nucleotides) under uncultured Phialocephala. RNAcentral describes it as "sequence contains ITS2". The stretch from base 1 to 154 matches the Rfam family "5.8S ribosomal RNA". Lineage: Eukaryota; Fungi; Ascomycota; Leotiomycetes; Helotiales. The record is from RNAcentral.